GGAAAGUACAGGAGAAAGGGGAGCAUGGGAUACUCACCUGUGUCUUCUUUCUUCUUUUCUUUUCCUUUUUCUUCUUUAAUUUCGUUUUUUAAUUUUGUUGCACGCCUCCUGAAAGCAGACAG
This 122-nucleotide non-coding RNA is filed under the name Fibrocapsa japonica. Lineage: Eukaryota; Raphidophyceae; Chattonellales; Chattonellaceae. The record is from RNAcentral.